AUGAACUUGUGGUUGUUGCUGGCUAGUGUCUCUAGCAUGUGCACACGCACCUUCAUCCCACUUACACCUGUGCACCUUUUGUAGUAUGGUUGUGAAAAGGGGGGGUUUGGUCUUGUAGACUGGGGGACCCCUUUGGAUCUACUUACUACGUAUUUUUAUACAUACACAAAAAUAGUCAUUGAAUGUCCAUUUGAUUUUAUAUUGAAAAAAA
RNAcentral lists this unclassified non-coding RNA (211 nucleotides) under uncultured Waitea. Its description in RNAcentral is "sequence contains ITS1". Lineage: Eukaryota; Fungi; Basidiomycota; Agaricomycetes; Cantharellales; Ceratobasidiaceae. The record is from RNAcentral.